This 1198-nucleotide long non-coding RNA is filed under the name Meleagris gallopavo (turkey). Its description in RNAcentral is "lncRNA (ENSMGAG00000019038.1)". Lineage: Eukaryota; Metazoa; Chordata; Aves; Galliformes; Phasianidae. The record is from RNAcentral.
UGGCCCUAUUGUGUGCUGCAGUGGCUGUGUUAUCACAGUUUACAUGAGUAAUGUUUGCAGGUUUGGUGUCCUUGGCUCUGAAUUCCUCUGCGAGGCAGCUUUCCCACAUGCUCACAAACAGUCACUUCUGGGCUUUAAAAAGAAAUGAGGCAUCUGCUGAAAGAAACUUAUGGUAAUCACUGCAAAGUUGUGGAGUACAUCACUGCUGAGCCACAGCCUCCAUCCUAAGUAGAGCUGAGGACAGCCAGCUUGCACCCUGCCUGUCUAUGCCGCAGGCACUGCUGUGUCCUACUGCACCUCAUCACCACCAGCAAGAAAGAAAGAAGUUGAAUGCCUCAUGGAGUUAUGAUGUAUCCAUCUAGUUUGAAUACCACUGAACUGGCUCCUGAAUUAAAGCAAAGGCUCUGUCAAACAGCACCAAACAUGUACACUGCCCCUACUUCGGAUCAACUCAUUAUCCCGAAUAAACGAUGUGUCAUUCCCAUUAUUUAUGUUUCACUGCAGCCAAAGUAUCUGGACCUCGUUUUUGCAUUUAAAGACAAACAGCUGCCUGAGCUUCAGCUGGAGGAGGAAAAGGAAGACACCAUCAAGCAUGAAUGUUGUGCUGUGAGAUGCUGUGAGAUAACAUAUACCAAGUUCUUUCAUUCUUGCACCCUCACAAAAUGCUCUGAAACAAACAGAUCUUUGUAUGUUAAGGAACUGCUCAGAAUGAUUAAGGCAUGUGGAAUUGGGACCCUCAUGAUUUUCUUUCUCUGAAUCAUCAUUUUCUAGAUUGGUUCCUAGAAGACCUCACAGUUGGAUGUACAUGGAAAGACUUAGACAGUCUUCCUUGACCCAGCUACCUUGUCAUCAUGCUUCUAAAUAUUCAAGCAUUAUAUCUGGAAUUAUUCACAGACUAUAGUAAUUAUCGUUCAGCAAAAAUCAGUCCCUCCAAAUGUUUGAUACCUAACGUGCACACAACCCAUCUGGGUUUAAUGGGUUUAUUCGUGCGAGUAAAACCCAUGGAGUCAGGCCCAGCAAAGUAUAAUGGCAUCACCUAAGUAUCUUCAGCACCUCCGUAUUAUUACCUUUGAGUCACUCACACCCUCAGUCAAUAAAAUUGAUCUCAUAACAAAUGCCAGUUGUACCCUACUAUUAACUUCUUUCCGUUCACAGAAGAAACUUCUUAUUACAACACUUUUUUUUUCUGCCGCUUAAC